UAUGUGAUCGUCUCUCGCAUAUCAAUAAGCGGAGGAAAAGAAACUAACAAGGAUUCCCCUAGUAACGGCGAGUGAAGCGGGAAGAGCUCAAAUUUGAAAUCUUAAAGGGUUUCCCUUUACGAAUUGUAGUUUAAAGAAGUGUUUUCUGUUGAGGUUUUGGUAAAAGUUCUUUGGAAUAGGACAUCAUAGAGGGUGAGAAUCCCGUAUUUGACCUUUACUUUCAACUUUGUGAUUACACUUUCAAAGAGUCGGAUUGUAUGGGAAUGCAGUCCAAAAUGGGUGGUAAAUUUCAUCUAAAGCUAAAUAUUGGCGAGAGACCGAUAGCGAACAAGUACCGUGAGGGAAAGAUGAAAAGAACUUGAAAAGAGAGUUAAACAGUACGUGUAAUUGUCAAAAGGGAAGCGUUUGACACCAGUGUUGUUUUUCUGAAAAUCAAUUAAAGAACUGUUUAUGCUAAGCUGUUUAGACUUUAUCAGCUAACUGUUUAGUUUUGAGCCUUUCUUUAAUGCACCUUUCAGUUAACAAGUCAACAUCAAUUUCUUUUGCUGUAAAAAAGCUUGAGGAAGGUGGCUUGAGAUUCGUCUUAAGUGUUUAUAGCCUCUUGCCUAUGCAGUCGGAGAGAUUGAGGUCUGCAGCGUAGAUCCUUCGGGGCUAAAUGCAUUUGUGCUAAGUUAUAGCAUUUUAUAGACAACUUGUUGACUAUGAUUUGUCUUGUAGCUUACUCGCUUAUGUUAUUUUACCUACGCUUAGGAUGUUGAUCUCUCACAGUCGAGC
Molecule: ribosomal RNA, 774 nt
Filed under: uncultured Neocallimastigales
Lineage: Eukaryota; Fungi; Neocallimastigomycota; Neocallimastigomycetes; Neocallimastigales
Description: partial large subunit ribosomal RNA
Rfam family: Eukaryotic large subunit ribosomal RNA
Source: RNAcentral